RNAcentral lists this long non-coding RNA (973 nucleotides) under Pan troglodytes (chimpanzee). Its description in RNAcentral is "long non-coding RNA NONPTRT008319". The record is from RNAcentral. Lineage: Eukaryota; Metazoa; Chordata; Mammalia; Primates; Hominidae.
AUAUUGUUUCUACAGGAUGGUUUUGGUUCCCUUCCCUUCCCACCCCCCCUUAAGCCUGUCAGCCCCCUCCAAAUGUCUCAGGAUCCCCCCUCUCCCCUGGGGCUGGGUGACAGCACCCCGGCUGCGUUCACACCCCAGUGUCACAGGGCGAGCUGUUCUGGAGAGAAAACCAUCUGUCGUGGCUGAGCGGGGAGCUUGAACACCCAGGCCAGGGACACCCCUCCCCAGCUCCCAGAGAGGCCCCCUGAGGGGUGAGCCCUCUUUCCACCUUCCCCUAUCCAUGCACCCCCUCGCAAUAAAACCAACUCUAAAAUCACAGCUGUCGUCCUAGCCAGUGGGGGCGACCGGACUUGGGGGGUGGAGCCCUCUGGGACUUCCGUAGGAACAAGGGCUGCGGCCCACCGCGACACUUACACAGACCUCGGGGAUUGCACUAAACCCUCGUUCCUAGCUCCGCACUCAGCUUCGCCUGUCCUGCCCGCCCACUUUGCCUUAACUACCCGCCCGUCCUGGGGGCCACAGCCUCUGCAUGGGCCCAGAGCCGGGACCCCCCCAGCCCAGCCCCGCCCUCCCCAGACUCCGCGCAAUCACAUACUGUAUAUAGACGUGAAUCGAUUUUAUUUUUAUUCUUUAAAUUAAGGUCGUGAUAAAGUGUUGCCAAAGAUACCUGCUGAAUUCUCGCGUUUCAGGAAACAAACAAACAAAAAAAAAUGAUAUUUGAGGAGGGUCGUGUUGACUCCAUAUGAAAGGACACAGCUCAAAGCUUUUUUGUUUGGUUGUUUGGGGUUUUUUGUGUUUUCUUUUUUUGGGGUGUUUUUUUUUUUUAACUGCCUGGUACAAAAAAAAAAGAAAAAAAAAAAGAAAAACAAUGCGAAAUUGUUAUUUCCAUUCUCAUGGUGAAGUUGCGUGGACGCGUGUGUGCGUGUGUGCAAGAGAGCGGGAGUGAGGUCCAGCCUGCCGGGCCCAGGAGAGA